AGCCCUCAGAUGCUGCUUAUCUAAGGAACACUGCACCUUUCUCUAGAGAGGAAAGGAAGUUUAAUUAAACUGCCCCAUCAAGAAGAACUGUAAUGAUGAAGCAUGAUUAAAGUGACGUGGCAGAAACUGCAAACAGAACAGGAAGAAAAUAUAUUGAAACAGAAGUCAAAAAGUGGAACAAUGAGAAAGAAAAUGGAAGUUAAUUAUUGUCUCUCAUAUGAAGGGUCAGCAGCAGCACCCAGCAUCCUUGGGCAGCUGCUUUGGUGGGGACAAUUUGCUUCAGCAAAGCCUACCAGAAAUACCUUCUCUGGGUUCCCCACUUUGCCCAAUCUCCUCCCCAGACUCACCAAGAGCAGGGCCUUCUCAUGCAAUUUCUUUCCCAUCCAAACUUUCACCAGUUCAUAGCACCUACUAUGCAGGGGUUCCGCUUAAUUUUUUGGGCUGUCAUCC
Molecule: long non-coding RNA, 450 nt
Organism: Lacerta agilis (Sand lizard)
Lineage: Eukaryota; Metazoa; Chordata; Lepidosauria; Squamata; Lacertidae
Exons: 3
Source: RefSeq, a predicted model, not a curated record